RNAcentral lists this ribosomal RNA (253 nucleotides) under uncultured bacterium. Its description in RNAcentral is "partial 16S ribosomal RNA". It matches the Rfam family "Bacterial small subunit ribosomal RNA", at positions 524 to 776 of the family's 1533-position model. The record is from RNAcentral.
UACGUAGGGCGCAAGCGUUGUCCGGAAUUAUUGGGCGUAAAGAGCGUGUAGGCGGUCUGGUAGGUCCGUUGUGAAAACUCGAGGCUCAACCUCGAGACGCCGAUGGAAACCCUCAGACUAGAGUCCGGAAGAGGAGAGUGGAAUUCCUGGUGUAGCGGUGAAAUGCGCAGAUAUCAGGAAGAACACCCGUGGCUAAGGCGGCUCUCUAGUACGGUACUGACGCUGAGACGCGAAAGCGUGGGGAGCGAACAGG